UAGAACUUGAUGGUAAGACCCUAUUGUUGAC
RNAcentral lists this non-coding RNA (31 nucleotides) under Mus musculus (house mouse). Lineage: Eukaryota; Metazoa; Chordata; Mammalia; Rodentia; Muridae. The record is from RNAcentral.